AAUGGGUUGCAGCCUGCUGGGCCAGGGAGUAAUGAGAGGGCUAACUUUCUGUUGAGGUGGUGCAGCAGCCCAAAGCCUAAACUGUGAUUCAGUGAGUUACUAGACAGGUAAUAGACCCACAUACGGCCCACAGAGCCACAGCAAGCUUUCGGAUUGAAACAAAGUUUCUAAUGUUUUAACUGAGUUUCCUAAGGUGGACUGUGUUUAUGAACAAUCAAGCAAACCCCAUCUGUGUUGCUGUUGUCCCUGUCUUUCCUCCAUAGGGCCACCUGUUCAAUCCCUGGUCCAGAAGAUCCCACGUGCCACGGAGCAAGUGAGCUUGUGCACCGCAGCUACUGAGCCCGAGUGCCAGAGCCAGCAGGCCGCAGCUGCUGAAACCUGUGGGCCUAAAGCCCGUACUCGGC
Molecule: long non-coding RNA, 404 nt
Organism: Bos taurus (domestic cattle)
Lineage: Eukaryota; Metazoa; Chordata; Mammalia; Artiodactyla; Bovidae
Source: Ensembl